Molecule: ribosomal RNA, 707 nt
Filed under: uncultured Alphaproteobacteria bacterium
Lineage: Bacteria; Pseudomonadati; Pseudomonadota; Alphaproteobacteria
Description: bacterial SSU rRNA
Rfam family: Bacterial small subunit ribosomal RNA
Source: RNAcentral
CGGUCUCUCACACAUGCACGUCUAACGACAUAGCAGUACUUAGUGGCAGACGGGUGAGUAACAUGUGGGUAUCUACCCUUUGGCCGUGGUAAUACACGAGGAAACUUGUGCUAAUACCGGAUAAGUCUUUACGGAGAAAGCUUUAUGCACCAUUGGAUGAGCCUGCACUUGAUUAGUUUGUUGGUGGGGUAAUGGCCUACCAAGACUGUGAUCAAUAGCUGAUUUGAGAGGAUGAUCAGCCACAUUGGGACUGAGACACGGCCCAAACUCCUACGGGAGGCAGCAGUGGGGAAUCUUGCACAAUGGAGGAAACUCUGAUGCAGCGAUGCCGCGUGAGUGAAGAAGGCCUUUGGGUUGUAAAGCUCUUUCGUCGGGGAAGAAAAUGACUGUACCCGAAUAAGAAGGUCCGGCUAACUUCGUGCCAGCAGCCGCGGUAAUACGAAGGGACCUAGCGUAGUACGGAAUUACUGGGCUUAAAGAGUACGUAGGUGGUUGAAAAAGUUGGUGGUGAAAUCCCAGAGCUUAACUCUGGAACUUGCCAUUACAACUUUUCAGCUAGAGUAUGAUCGAGGAAAGCAGACAUUCUAGCUGUAAGAGGUGAAACUUCGUAGACUCUCCAACCGAAUACCAAUUGCGAAGGCAGCUUCUGGAUAUUAUGACCUGAGUCGACACAUGGUAGCGAGAGAUAGAUCCCCGUAUCAUGCGUA